This 427-nucleotide ribosomal RNA is filed under the name uncultured bacterium. RNAcentral describes it as "partial 16S ribosomal RNA". It matches the Rfam family "Bacterial small subunit ribosomal RNA", at positions 355 to 774 of the family's 1533-position model. The record is from RNAcentral.
UAGGGAAUCUUCCGCAAUGGGCGAAAGCCUGACGGAGCAACGCCGCGUGAGUGAUGAAGGUCUUCGGAUCGUAAAACUCUGUUAUUAGGGAAGAACAUAUGUGUAAGUAACUGUGCACAUCUUGACGGUACCUAAUCAGAAAGCCACGGCUAACUACGUGCCAGCAGCCGCGGUAAUACGUAGGUGGCAAGCGUUAUCAGGAAUUAUUGGGCGUAAAGCGCGCGUAGGCGGUUUUUUAAGUCUGAUGUGAAAGCCCACGGCUCAACCGUGGAGGGUCAUUGGAAACUGGAAAACUUGAGUGCAGAAGAGGAAAGUGGAAUUCCAUGUGUAGCGGUGAAAUGCGCAGAGAUAUGGAGGAACACCAGUGGCGAAGGCGACUUUCUGGUCUGUAACUGACGCUGAUGUGCGAAAGCGUGGGGAUCAAACA